This 270-nucleotide ribosomal RNA is filed under the name uncultured bacterium. RNAcentral's name for it is "partial 16S ribosomal RNA". It matches the Rfam family "Bacterial small subunit ribosomal RNA", at positions 793 to 1055 of the family's 1533-position model. The record is from RNAcentral.
GUCCACGCCGUAAACGAUGUUAACUAGGUGUAGGGAGAUUUGACCCUUCCUGCGCCGUCGCUAACGCAUUAAGUUAACCGCCUGGGGGAGUACGGUCGCAAGACUAAAACUCAAAGGAAUUGACGGGGGCCCGCACAAGCGGUGGAGUAUGUGGUUUAAUUCGACGCAACGCGAAGAACCUUACCUGGAUUAGAAAUCAAGUGGAAGUCCUGUAGAGAUAUGGGACGUUCCCGCAAGGGAACUGCUUGACAGGUGCUGCAUGGCUGUCGU